AAAACGUUUGGUUGACAAUUCUUGAUGUACAGUAUGUUUUAAUGACUAUAGCUGAUUUUAUUCCUUCAAAUGAUUCUUCUAGUUUUCUUUAUAUAUAUGUUUGUUUUUAAUCUUUGGGGCAAAUGAAAAACUUGGCACAUUUCAUUUGAAAAUAUUUACCAACUGGCAGACUUUUCACCCAACAAUUCAAUGUCAUCCAAGUCACUGUUUAAGUUACCAUAAAGACAGGAU
RNAcentral lists this long non-coding RNA (231 nucleotides) under Bos taurus (domestic cattle). RNAcentral describes it as "long non-coding RNA NONBTAT005538". The record is from RNAcentral. Lineage: Eukaryota; Metazoa; Chordata; Mammalia; Artiodactyla; Bovidae.